CUACGUGCCAGCAGCCGCGGUAAUACGUAGGGUGCGAGCGUUAAUCGGAAUUACUGGGCGUAAAGCGAGCGCAGACGGUUACUUAAGCAGGAUGUGAAAUCCCCGGGCUUAACCUGGGAACUGCGUUCUGAACUGGGUGACUAGAGUGUGUCAGAGGGAGGUAGAAUUCCACGUGUAGCAGUGAAAUGCGUAGAGAUGUGGAGGAAUACCGAUGGCGAAGGCAGCCUCCUGGGAUAACACUGACGUUCAUGCUCGAAAGCGUGGGUAGCAAACAGGAUUAGAUACCCUGGUAGUCCACGCCCUAAACGAUGUCAAUUAGCUGUUGGGCAACUUGAUUGCUUAGUAGCGUAGCUAACGCGUGAAAUUGACCGCCUGGGGAGUACGGUCGCAAGAUUAAAACUCAAAGGAAUUGACGGGGACCCGCACAAGCGGUGGAUGAUGUGGAUUAAUUCGAUGCAACGCGAAGAACCUUACCUGGUCUUGACAU
This 487-nucleotide ribosomal RNA is filed under the name uncultured bacterium. RNAcentral's name for it is "bacterial SSU rRNA". It matches the Rfam family "Bacterial small subunit ribosomal RNA", at positions 501 to 987 of the family's 1533-position model. The record is from RNAcentral.